GAUGAAGAACGCAGCGAAAUGCGAUAAGUAAUGUGAAUUGCAGAAUUCAGUGAAUCAUCGAAUCUUUGAACGCACAUUGCGCCCGCCAGCAUUCUGGCGGGCAUGCCUGUUCGAGCGACAUUUCAACCCUCGAGCCCCCCCGGGGGCCUCGGUGUUGGGGGACGGCACACCAGCCGCCCCCGAAAUGCAGUGGCGACCCCGCCGCAGCCUCCCCUGCGUAGUAGCACACACCUCGCACCGGAGCGCGGAGGCGGUCACGCCGUAAAACGCCCAACUUUCUUAGAGUUGACCUCGGAUCAGGUAGGAAUACCCGCUGAACUUAAGCAUAUCAAUAAGCGGAGGA
Molecule: unclassified non-coding RNA, 343 nt
Filed under: soil metagenome
Description: partial contains 5.8S ribosomal RNA, internal transcribed spacer 2, and large subunit ribosomal RNA
Rfam family: 5.8S ribosomal RNA (bases 1-120)
Source: RNAcentral